This 1474-nucleotide ribosomal RNA is filed under the name Shigella flexneri. RNAcentral's name for it is "partial 23S ribosomal RNA". It matches the Rfam family "Bacterial large subunit ribosomal RNA", at positions 1 to 1512 of the family's 2925-position model. The record is from RNAcentral. Lineage: Bacteria; Pseudomonadati; Pseudomonadota; Gammaproteobacteria; Enterobacterales; Enterobacteriaceae.
GUUGUGAGGUUAAGCGACUAAGCGUACACGGUGGAUGCCCUGGCAGUCAGAGGCGAUGAAGGACGUGCUAAUCUGCGAUAAGCGUCGGUAAGGUGAUAUGAACCGUUAUAACCGGCGAUUUCCGAAUGGGGAAACCCAGUGUGAUUCGUCACACUAUCAUUAACUGAAUCCAUAGGUUAAUGAGGCGAACCGGGGGAACUGAAACAUCUAAGUACCCCGAGGAAAAGAAAUCAACCGAGAUUCCCCCAGUAGCGGCGAGCGAACGGGGAGCAGCCCAGAGCCUGAAUCAGUGUGUGUGUUAGUGGAAGCGUCUGGAAAGGCGUGCGAUACAGGGUGACAGCCCCGUACACAAAAAUGCACAUACUGUGAGCUCGAUGAGUAGGGCGGGACACGUGGUAUCCUGUCUGAAUAUGGGGGGACCAUCCUCCAAGGCUAAAUACUCCUGACUGACCGAUAGUGAACCAGUACCGUGAGGGAAAGGCGAAAAGAACCCCGGCGAGGGGAGUGAAAAAGAACCUGAAACCGUGUACGUACAAGCAGUGGGAGCACGCUUAGGCGUGUGACUGCGUACCUUUUGUAUAAUGGGUCAGCGACUUAUAUUCUGUAGCAAGGUUAACCGAAUAGGGGAGCCGAAGGGAAACCGAGUCUUAACUGGGCGUUAAGUUGCAGGGUAUAGACCCGAAACCCGGUGAUCUAGCCAUGGGCAGGUUGAAGGUUGGGUAACACUAACUGGAGGACCGAACCGACUAAUGUUGAAAAAUUAGCGGAUGACUUGUGGCUGGGGGUGAAAGGCCAAUCAAACCGGGAGAUAGCUGGUUCUCCCCGAAAGCUAUUUAGGUAGCGCCUCGUGAAUUCAUCUCCGGGGGUAGAGCACUGUUUCGGCAAGGGGGUCAUCCCGACUUACCAACCCGAUGCAAACUGCGAAUACCGGAGAAUGUUAUUACGGGAGACACACGGCGGGUGCUAACGUCCGUCGUGAAGAGGGAAACAACCCAGACCGCCAGCUAAGGUCCCAAAGUCAUGGUUAAGUGGGAAACGAUGUGGGAAGGCCCAGACAGCCAGGAUGUUGGCUUAGAAGCAGCCAUCAUUUAAAGAAAGCGUAAUAGCUCACUGGUCGAGUCGGCCUGCGCGGAAGAUGUAACGGGGCUAAACCAUGCACCGAAGCUGCGGCAGCGACGCUUAUGCGUUGUUGGGUAGGGGAGCGUUCUGUAAGCCUGUGAAGGUGUGCUGUGAGGUAUGCUGGAGGUAUCAGAAGUGCGAAUGCUGACAUAAGUAACGAUAAAGCGGGUGAAAAGCCCGCUCGCCGGAAGACCAAGGGUUCCUGUCCAACGUUAAUCGGGGCAGGGUGAGUCGACCCCUAAGGCGAGGCCGAAAGGCGUAGUCGAUGGGAAACAGGUUAAUAUUCCUGUACUUGGUGUUACUGCGAAGGGGGGACGGAGAAGGCUAUGUUGGCCGGGCGACGGUUGUCCCGGUU